RNAcentral lists this ribosomal RNA (460 nucleotides) under uncultured bacterium. RNAcentral describes it as "partial 16S ribosomal RNA". It matches the Rfam family "Bacterial small subunit ribosomal RNA", at positions 338 to 795 of the family's 1533-position model. The record is from RNAcentral.
CCUACGGGGGGCAGCAGUGAGGAAUAUUGGUCAAUGGACGAGAGUCUGAACCAGCCAAGUAGCGUGAAGGAUGACUGCCCUAUGGGUUGUAAACUUCUUUUAUAAAGGAAUAAAACGAGGCACGUGUGCCUUUUUGCAUGUACUUUAUGAAUAAGGAUCGGCUAACUCCGUGCCAGCAGCCGCGGUAAUACGGAGGAUCCGAGCGUUAUCCGGAUUUAUUGGGUUUAAAGGGAGCGUAGAUGGGUUGUUAAGUCAGUUGUGAAAGUUUGCGGCUCAACCGUAAAAGUGCAAUUGAUACUGGCAGUCUUGAGUACGGUUGAGGUAGGCGGAAUGCGUGGUGUAGCGGUGAAAUGCUUAGAUAUCACGAAGAACCCCGAUUGCGAAGGCAGCUUACUAAACUGUGACUGACAUUGAUGCUCGAAAGUGUGGGUAUCGAACAGGAUUAGAUACCCGUGUAGUC